UUUCUCUCUUGUGACAGCUAGGUGGUGCAGUGGAUAGAACCUCAGCCCUGGAGGCAGGAAGUCCUAAGUUCAAAUCUGAACUCAGACACUUACUAACUAUGUAACCCCGGGCAAGUCCUUAACCCUGUUGGACUCAGUUUUCUCAUCUGUCAAAUGAGCUGAAGAAGGAAAUGGCAAACCACUCCAGUAUCUUUAUAAGAAAACUCCAAAUGGAGCCACAAAGUGUCAAACAAUUGAAAACAGCUAUAAACAUAACCUUCUCCCUUCUCUUCUUUCUCUCUCUUCUCUCCUCUCUCUCUCUCCCCACUCCUCUCUCUCUCUCUCUCUUUCUCUCUCUCUCUCUCUCUCUCUCUCUCUCUCUCUCUCUCUCUCUCUCUCUCUCUCUCUCUCUCUCUCUCUCUCUGUUUUUCCUCUCCUCUCCUGUCCUAUCUUUUCCUGUUGUCUUCUCUUGUCUUUUCUCUCUCUUCUUUCUGCUCUCUCUCUUCUUCUCUUUUGUCUUUCCUCUUCUCUCUCUCUCCCACCUCUCUCCCCCCUCUCUUUUUCUCUCUCCUCACUCUUCUCUCUCACCUCUUUCCUUUUCUCUCUCUUCUCUUUUCUAUUUCUCUUCUUCUCUUUCCCCUCUCUCCUCUCUUCUCUCUCCCCUCUUCUCUCUUUUACUUUCUUUCUCCCUCUUUUCUCUUCUCUCUCUCCCCCUUCUCUUUCUCCCUCUUCUGUCUUUCCUCUACUUUCUCCAUUUUUCCUCUCCUCUCCUGUCCUCUCCUCUCUUUUUCUGUUGUCUUCUCUCUCUUCUCAUCUUUUCUCUGUCUCUUCUCUUUUCUCUCUCUGCUUCUCUCUUCUCUCUCCCUUCUCUCUUCCCCUUCUCUCCUCUCUCUUCCCCUUCUCUCUCUUUUCUCUUCUCUUUCUCUCUCUUCUUCUCUUUUCUCUCUCUGUCUCUCUCCCCCCUUCCCUCUCUCCUUUACUCUGUUUUUCCUCUCCUCUCCUGUCCUCUCUUUUUCUGUCAUCUUCUCUCUCUCCUUUUCUCUCUCCACUUCUCUCACACUCCUUCUCUUUUCUCUCUCCACUUCUGGUCUCAGA
This 1074-nucleotide long non-coding RNA is filed under the name Monodelphis domestica (gray short-tailed opossum). Its description in RNAcentral is "lncRNA (ENSMODG00000039375.1)". Lineage: Eukaryota; Metazoa; Chordata; Mammalia; Didelphimorphia; Didelphidae. The record is from RNAcentral.